CGCCUCUUGAGUUUCUAUAAGAGGUCCAGCCUGCCCAGUGACUUUGUUCAACGGCCGCGGUAUCCUAACCGUGCGAAGGUAGCGUAAUCACUUGUUCUUUAAAUGCGGACUAGUAUGAAUGGCAUCACGAAGGUUAUACUGUCUCCCCUUUCUAAUCAGUGAAACUAAUCUCCCCGUGAAGAAGCGAGGAUAAAACUAUAAGACGAGAAGACCCUAUGGAGCUUUAAACAUUAUAGCACUUGCCACAUAAAACAUAAACUUCAGAAUUAUUAAUUCUUUAAGCAACUUGACUAUAAGUUUUUGGUUGGGGUGACCGCGGAGCAUAAUAUAACCUCCAUGUUGAAAGAUUUAUUUCUAAGCUAAGAGCUACACCUCUAAGCAUCAACAUAUUGACAUUCAUUGACCCAAUAUAUUUGAACAACGAACCAAGUUACCCUAGGGAUAACAGCGCAAUCCACUUCAAGAGCUCCUAUCGACAAGUGGGUUUACGACCUCGAUGUUGGAUCAGGGUUUCCCAGUGGUGCAGCCGCUACUAAAGGUUCGUUUGUUCAACGAUUAAAACCCUACG
This is a ribosomal RNA of 568 nucleotides. It matches the Rfam family "Bacterial large subunit ribosomal RNA", at positions 1827 to 2600 of the family's 2925-position model.